This 324-nucleotide ribosomal RNA is filed under the name Triticum aestivum (bread wheat). Its description in RNAcentral is "partial small subunit ribosomal RNA". The record is from RNAcentral. Lineage: Eukaryota; Viridiplantae; Streptophyta; Magnoliopsida; Poales; Poaceae.
AAGCCCGUGGCAACGCACGGACAUUCUACUAGUCAUCCUUAUUGUAGUGCUCAAGUUGAAUUGAGCAAUAGAGAAAUAAAGCUAAUUUUGCAAAAGAGCGUUAGUAGAUCUAGAAAGAACUGGUCUAAGAAACUUGAUGAUGCAUUGUGGGCAUACAUAACUGCUUAUAAAAAUCCUAUGGGUAUGUCCCCUUAUAAAAUGGUUUAUGGAAAAGCAUAUCAUUUUUCUCUUGAUUUAGAACAUAAAGCAUAUUGGCAAUUAAAGAACUUAACUAUGUUUUCAAACUUGCUGGUGAAAGGAGGUUAUUUCAUAUUAGUUCUUUAG